UACUUUAUUAUCGUCAACAUCUGCUGCGCUACUUACGCACGAUACACUGGUUGCCCCCGGGCAAGGUUUUCCAGCCUGGACAACAGUAGGAGUGGAAACGUGAUCCACACACAUUGGGCCUAUACGGAAGGAGGAUUCCUGUUUUCCUCUUCUCCUCACUCGAUUUGAGGCAGCCGUCUGAUCUCCAUCCACCUUGAGAAGCGUUUUCCUCCCGAGCGUUGGAGGGUCUUGUCCUGUUACUUUUACUACGAGAAAACCCGUCAACGCCACCAGUCCAACCAAGCACGAAAAAAUCCUCUUGGUCCACAUCCUAAACAAACUUUUUUGUCUAAUUUUCCAAUGUGUUGUUAUUUAAUCCGAUGGAAUAAAUAUCAAGAAUGGC
Oncorhynchus nerka (sockeye salmon) is the source of this 382-nucleotide long non-coding RNA. RefSeq lists it as uncharacterized. The transcript has 2 exons. Lineage: Eukaryota; Metazoa; Chordata; Actinopteri; Salmoniformes; Salmonidae. The record is from RefSeq and is a predicted model, not a curated record.